UACUUUAAGUCAAUUCCUUAAAAUCAGAUAAAUUAUUGUCGGAUCAUUAGCGCAACCAUUAAUCCCAAAAACUCGAGCUGUUAGAAUACACAAUCAAUUCACUUAAAAUGUGCAGACAUAGCGCUCACGGGUCUCGAUUGCGGCUCCGCCUAACCAGCUUCACGUCACUUCAAACAUAACUCGGCCCAAUCCAGUCUCCCACCAUUUCGAAAGUAACUCAGUCCAAAUUAACUAGCCUUCCGCCAUUACGUCAUAA
Molecule: long non-coding RNA, 256 nt
Filed under: Ananas comosus (pineapple)
Lineage: Eukaryota; Viridiplantae; Streptophyta; Magnoliopsida; Poales; Bromeliaceae
Description: long non-coding RNA (ACOM_LNC025680)
Source: RNAcentral